ACCUUGAACUCCCAUCAAUUGGCCCCCUCCAGUUUAUUAAUUAGAAGCAGUUGCUCUGCAUAAUACAUGGGAGAUUUUAAAAGCAUAAAAGAUCCAGCACUAGCAGUUAGCGAAGAGUCAAGUACCCGGAAGAAAAGGCACCGUGUCGUUUGGACAACAGAGCUCCACCAGAAGUUUCUCAAUGCCAUUGAGCAAUUAGGCGGAACCACAAGGCUAUUCCCAAGCGAAUACUUGCUCUCAUGAAUGUAGAUGGUCUCACUAGGGAGAACGUAGCCAGCCAUUUGCACAAGUACAGACUAAUACACAACUUGAAAAGGGAAACCAAUAAGCUGAACAUGGGUCAACUUGAUGGACUUAUAAAUAUCAAUGCCACAAGCUCUGCACUCUUAUCGAUAAAUCUUGAAAAGAUGAACCUCUCCAGCUUCAUCCAACAGGGUCAUCACCAGAACUCAAGCAACUCAGCAAAUCCAUCUGGAGCAUAUCACAGUACUACUCAGUCACCACCAAGAGUCCAAAACGUGAAUCAGUAUCAACCAAGUUCAUCUCCACUAAAGCCCUUAUUGUUUCCUAUGAUCAAUUUCUCUGCAAACAUGGGAGAUUCUAAAGGCAUUAAGGAACCAGCAAUAGUAUGUAAGUUUCCAAACAUACCAAAAGAGAACAAGACGGGUCCGUCCGUCUACCGGAAGCUGCAUGAUUCAGAUUAAGACAGAGCCUUAAACUAAGGCAAAUCUGCUCGGAGACACAGGUUCUUCUUCCCACUGCUGAUGGCUGCCGCAAUCUUACCCUCUCUUUAUUUAUGGUUUUUUUAGCCAAUGUGUAACUCAGUAACUCUCUCUGUGAUUCUUUC
Molecule: long non-coding RNA, 847 nt
Organism: Camelina sativa (false flax)
Lineage: Eukaryota; Viridiplantae; Streptophyta; Magnoliopsida; Brassicales; Brassicaceae
Product: two-component response regulator ARR18
Source: RefSeq, a predicted model, not a curated record